Molecule: ribosomal RNA, 253 nt
Filed under: uncultured bacterium
Lineage: Bacteria
Description: partial 16S ribosomal RNA
Rfam family: Bacterial small subunit ribosomal RNA
Source: RNAcentral
UACGUAGGGGGCUAGCGUUGUUCGGAAUUACUGGGCGUAAAGCGCACGUAGGCGGCGCAGCAAGUUGGGGGUGAAAUCCCGAGGCUCAACCUCGGAAUUGCCUUCAAAACUGCUGUGCUCGAGUUCGGAAGAGGUGAGUGGAAUUCCCAGUGUAGAGGUGAAAUUCGUAGAGAUUGGGAAGAACACCAGUGGCGAAGGCGGCUCACUGGUCCGCAACUGACGCUGAGGUGCGAAAGCGUGGGGAGCAAACAGG